AGUGAACGCUGGCGGUAGGCCUAACACAUGCAAGUCGAACGGCAGCACAGUAAGAGCUUGCUCUUACGGGUGGCGAGUGGCGGACGGGUGAGGAAUACAUCGGAAUCUACUUUUUCGUGGGGGAUAACGUAGGGAAACUUACGCUAAUACCGCAUACGACCUACGGGUGAAAGCAGGGGAUCUUCGGACCUUGCGCGAUUGAAUGAGCCGAUGUCGGAUUAGCUAGUUGGCGGGGUAAAGGCCCACCAAGGCGACGAUCCGUAGCUGGUCUGAGAGGAAGAUUCGCCACACUGGCACUGAGACACGGUCCAGACUCCUACGGUAGGCAGCAGUGGGGAAUAUUGGACAAUGGGCGCAAGCCUGAUCCAGCCAUACCGCGUGGGUGAAGAAGGCCUUCGGGUUGUAAAGCCCUUUUGUUGGGAAAGAAAAGCAGCAGGUUAAUCCCCCGCUGUUCUGACGGUACCCAAAGAAUAAGCACCGGCUAACUUCGUG
This 492-nucleotide ribosomal RNA is filed under the name uncultured bacterium. Its description in RNAcentral is "partial 16S ribosomal RNA". It matches the Rfam family "Bacterial small subunit ribosomal RNA", at positions 29 to 507 of the family's 1533-position model. The record is from RNAcentral.